This 897-nucleotide ribosomal RNA is filed under the name uncultured archaeon. Its description in RNAcentral is "bacterial SSU rRNA". It matches the Rfam family "Archaeal small subunit ribosomal RNA", at positions 1 to 874 of the family's 1478-position model. The record is from RNAcentral.
UUCCGGUUGAUCCUGCCGGACCCUACUGCUAUCGGGGUGGGACUAAGCCAUGCGAGUUGUGCGUCUUCGAGCUAUGGUGGAGGCGCGGCAUACGGCUCAGUAACACGUGGCUAACCUACCCUUGGGACGGGGACAACCCCGGGAAACUGGGGCUAAUCCCCGAUGGGUGAGGAGGCCUGGAAUGGUUCCUCGCCGAAAGGGUGCUGAAACCAUGCUUUUCAGCGUUGCCCAAGGACGGGGCCGCGGCCGAUCAGGUUGUUGGUGGGGUAACGGCUCACCAAGCCUUUGACCGGUACGGGCCGUGAGAGCGGGAGCCCGGAGAUGGGCACUGAGAUAAGGGCCCAGGCCCUACGGGGUGCAGCAGGCGCGAAAACUUCGCAAUGUGCGAAAGCGUGACGGGGCUAUCCCGAGUGCCGUCCGCUGAGGAUGGCUUUUCCACGGUGUAAGGAGCCGUGGGAAUAAGGAGAGGGCAAGACUGGUGUCAGCCGCCGCGGUAAUACCAGCUCUCCGAGUGGUAGGGAUGAUUAUUGGGCUUAAAGCGUCCGUAGCCGGCUCGGUAAGUCUCUCGUCAAAUCCAGCGACCUAAUCGUUGGACUGCGGGAGAUACUGUUGGGCUAGGGGGCGGGAGAGGCCGACGGUAUUCUCGGGGUAGGGGUGAAAUCCUAUAAUCCCGGGAGGACCACCAGUGGCGAAGGCGGUCGGCUAGAACGCGCUCGACGGUGAUGGACGAAAGCUGGGGGAGCGAACCGGAUUAGAUACCCGGGUAGUCCCAGCUGUAAACGAUGCGGGCUAGGUGUUGGGGGGGCUACGAGCCUCUUCAGUGCCGCAGGGAAACCAUUAAGCCCGCCGCCUGGGGAGUACGGCCGCAAGGCUGAAACUUAAAGGAAUUGGCGGGGG